CGGGCCUUAGUGGCGGACGGGUGAGUAACGCGUGGGGAACCUGCCCCGCACCGGGGGAUAACACCUGGAAACAGGUGCUAAUACCGCAUAAGCGCACAGGGCCGCAUGGCCCGGUGUGAAAAACUCCGGUGGUGUAAGAUGGACCCGCGUCUGAUUAGCUUGUUGGCGGGGUAGGGGCCCACCAAGGCGACGAUCAGUAGCCGAUCUGAGAGGAUGGCCGGCCACAUUGGGACUGAGACACGGACCAGACUCCUACGGAAGGCAGCAG
This 268-nucleotide ribosomal RNA is filed under the name uncultured bacterium. RNAcentral's name for it is "partial 16S ribosomal RNA". It matches the Rfam family "Bacterial small subunit ribosomal RNA", at positions 86 to 354 of the family's 1533-position model. The record is from RNAcentral.